This 252-nucleotide ribosomal RNA is filed under the name uncultured Bacteroidales bacterium. RNAcentral's name for it is "partial 16S ribosomal RNA". It matches the Rfam family "Bacterial small subunit ribosomal RNA", at positions 524 to 776 of the family's 1533-position model. Lineage: Bacteria; Pseudomonadati; Bacteroidota; Bacteroidia; Bacteroidales. The record is from RNAcentral.
UACGGAGGAUGCGAGCGUUAUCCGGAUUUAUUGGGUUUAAAGGGUGCGCAGGCGGAAUGUCAAGUCAGCGGUAAAAUUUCGGGGCUCAACCCCGGCCUGCCGUCGGAACUGGGUGCCUUGAGUGGGCGAGAAGUAUGCGGAAUGCGUGGUGUAGCGGUGAAAUGCAUAGAUAUCACGCAGAACUCCGAUUGCGAAGGCAGCAUACCGGCGCCCGACUGACGCUGAAGCACGAAAGCGUGGGUAUCGAACAGG